UUAAGCGACUAAGCGUACACGGUGGAUGCCCUGGCAGUCAGAGGCGAUGAAGGACGUGCUAAUCUGCGAAAAGCGCCGGCGAGGUGAUAUGAACCCUUGACCCGGCGAUGUCCGAAUGGGGAAACCCAGUGUGAUUCGUCACACUAUCGUUAACUGAAUACAUAGGUUAACGAGGCGAACCGGGGGAACUGAAACAUCUAAGUACCCCGAGGAAAAGAAAUCAACCGAGAUUCCCCCAGUAGCGGCGAGCGAACGGGGAGCAGCCCGGAGUCUGAAUCAGCUUGUGUGUUAGUGGAACGGUCUGGAAAGUCCGACGGUACAGGGUGAUAGUCCCGUACACGAAAGCACACUUGCUGUGAACUCGAAGAGUAGGGCGGGACACGUGGUAUCCUGUCUGAAUAUGGGGGGACCAUCCUCCAAGGCUAAAUACUCCUGACUGACCGAUAGUGAACCAGUACCGUGAGGGAAAGGCGAAAAGAACCCCGGCGAGGGGAGUGAAAAAGAACCUGAAACCGUGUACGUACAAGCAGUGGGAGCACCUUCGUGGUGUGACUGCGUACCUUUUGUAUAAUGGGUCAGCGACUUAUAUUCUGUAGCAAGGUUAACCGUAUAGGGGAGCCGAAGGGAAACCGAGUCUUAACUGGGCGUUAAGUUGCAGGGUAUAGACCCGAAACCCGGUGAUCUAGCCAUGGGCAGGUUGAAGGUUGGGUAACACUAACUGGAGGACCGAACCGACUAAUGUUGAAAAAUUAGCGGAUGACCUGUGGCUGGGGGUGAAAGGCCAAUCAAACCGGGAGAUAGCUGGUUCUCCCCGAAAGCUAUUUAGGUAGCGCCUCGUGAACUCAUCUUCGGGGGUAGAGCACUGUUUCGGCUAGGGGGCCAUCCCGGCUUACCAACCCGAUGCAAACUACGAAUACCGAAGAAUGUUAUCACGGGAGACACACGGCGGGUGCUAACGUCCGUCGUGAAGAGGGAAACAACCCAGACCGCCAGCUAAGGUCCCAAAGUCAUGGUUAAGUGGGAAACGAUGUGGGAAGGCACAGACAGCCAGGAUGUUGGCUUAGAAGCAGCCAUCAUUUAAAGAAAGCGUAAUAGCUCACUGGUCGAGUCGGCCUGCGCGGAAGAUGUAACGGGGCUAAACCAUGCACCGAAGCUGCGGCAGCGACACUAUGUGUUGUUGGGUAGGGGAGCGUUCUGUAAGCCGUUGAAGGUGUGCUGUGAGGCAUGCUGGAGGUAUCAGAAGUGCGAAUGCUGACAUAAGUAACGAUAAAGCGGGUGAAAAGCCCGCUCGCCGGAAGACCAAGGGUUCCUGUCCAACGUUAAUCGGGGCAGGGUGAGUCGACCCCUAAGGCGAGGCCGAAAGGCGUAGUCGAUGGGAAACAGGUUAAUAUUCCUGUACUUGGUGUUACUGCGAAGGGGGGACGGAGAAGGCUAUGUCAGCCGGGCGACGGUUGUCCCGGUUUAAGCAUGUAGGCGGAGGUUCCAGGUAAAUCCGGUACCUUAUUAACGCUGAGGUGUGAUGACGAGGCACUACGGUGCUGAAGUGAUAAAUGCCCUGCUUCCAGGAAAAGCCUCUAAGCAUCAGGUAACACGAAAUCGUACCCCAAACCGACACAGGUGGUCAGGUAGAGAAUACCAAGGCGCUUGAGAGAACUCGGGUGAAGGAACUAGGCAAAAUGGUGCCGUAACUUCGGGAGAAGGCACGCUGAUGUGUAGGUGAAGUCCCUGCGGACGGAGCUGAAAUCAGUCGAAGAUACCAGCUGGCUGCAACUGUUUAUUAAAAACACAGCACUGUGCAAACACGAAAGUGGACGUAUACGGUGUGACGCCUGCCCGGUGCCGGAAGGUUAAUUGAUGGGGUUAGCUGUAAGGCGAAGCUCUUGAUCGAAGCCCCGGUAAACGGCGGCCGUAACUAUAACGGUCCUAAGGUAGCGAAAUUCCUUGUCGGGUAAGUUCCGACCUGCACGAAUGGCGUAAUGAUGGCCAGGCUGUCUCCACCCGAGACUCAGUGAAAUUGAACUCGCUGUGAAGAUGCAGUGUACCCGCGGCAAGACGGAAAGACCCCGUGAACCUUUACUAUAGCUUGACACUGAACACUGGUCCUUGAUGUGUAGGAUAGGUGGGAGGCUUUGAAGCGUGGACGCCAGUCUGCGUGGAGCCGCCCUUGAAAUACCACCCUUUAAUGGCUGGUGUUCUAACGUAGACCCGUAAUCCGGGUUGCGGACAGUGUCUGGUGGGUAGUUUGACUGGGGCGGUCUCCUCCCAAAGAGUAACGGAGGAGCACGAAGGUUGGCUAAUCCUGGUCGGACAUCAGGAGGUUAGUGCAAUGGCAUAAGCCAGCUUGACUGCGAGCGUGACGGCGCGAGCAGGUGCGAAAGCAGGUCAUAGUGAUCCGGUGGUUCUGAAUGGAAGGGCCAUCGCUCAACGGAUAAAAGGUACUCCGGGGAUAACAGGCUGAUACCGCCCAAGAGUUCAUAUCGACGGCGGUGUUUGGCACCUCGAUGUCGGCUCAUCACAUCCUGGGGCUGAAGUAGGUCCCAAGGGUAUGGCUGUUCGCCAUUUAAAGUGGUACGCGAGCUGGGUUUAGAACGUCGUGAGACAGUUCGGUCCCUAUCUGCCGUGGGCGCUGGAGAAUUGAGGGGGGCUGCUCCUAGUACGAGAGGACCGGAGUGGACGCAUCACUGGUGUUCGGGUUGUCAUGCCAAUGGCACUGCCCGGUAGCUAAAUGCGGAAGAGAUAAGUGCUGAAAGCAUCUAAGCACGAAACUUGCCCCGAGAUGAGUUCUCCCUGAGACUUUAAGUCUCCUGAAGGAACGUUAAAGACGAUGACGUUGAUAGGUCGGGUGUGUAAGCGCAGCGAUGCGUUGAGCUAACCGAUACUAAUGAACCGUGAGGCUUAACCUU
RNAcentral lists this ribosomal RNA (2903 nucleotides) under human gut metagenome. RNAcentral's name for it is "bacterial LSU rRNA". It matches the Rfam family "Bacterial large subunit ribosomal RNA". The record is from RNAcentral.